AGCGAACGCUGGCGGCAGGCUUAACACAUGCAAGUCGAGCGCCCCGCAAGGGGAGCGGCAGACGGGAGAGUAACACGUGGGAACAUACCUUUUGGUUCGGAACAACUGAGGGAAACUUCAGCUAAUACCGGAUAAGCCCUUACGGGGAAAGAUUUAUCGCCGAAAGAUUGGCCCGCGUCUGAUUAGCUAGUUGGUGAGGUAACGGCUCACCAAGGCGACGAUCAGUAGCUGGUCUGAGAGGAUGGUCAGCCUCACUGGGACUGAGACACGGCCCAGACUCCUACGGGAGGCAGCAGUGGGGAAUAUUGGACAAUGGGGGCAACCCUGAUCCAGCCAUGCCGCGUGAGUGAUGAAGGCCUUAGGGUUGUAAAGCUCUUUUGCCCGGGAAGAUAAUGACGGUACCGGGAGAAUAAGCCCCGGCUAACUUCGUG
Molecule: ribosomal RNA, 431 nt
Filed under: uncultured bacterium
Lineage: Bacteria
Description: partial 16S ribosomal RNA
Rfam family: Bacterial small subunit ribosomal RNA
Source: RNAcentral